Molecule: ribosomal RNA, 289 nt
Filed under: uncultured Acidobacteriota bacterium
Lineage: Bacteria; Pseudomonadati; Acidobacteriota
Description: uncultured Acidobacteria bacterium partial 16S ribosomal RNA
Source: RNAcentral
CUACAGGGGUAUCUAAUCCCGUUUGCUACCCACGCUUUCGCGCCUCAGCGUCAGUUCCGGCCCAGGGGACCGCCUUCGCCACUGGUGUUCCUCCCAAUAUCUACGCAUUUCACCGCUACACUGGGAAUUCCGCCCCCCUCUUCCGGACUCGAGCCUUGCAGUUUCUUCCGCACGUCCUCGGUUGAGCCGAGGGAUUUCACGGAAGACACGCAUGGCCGCCUACGCGCCCUUUACGCCCAAUAAUUCCGAAUAACGCUGGCCCCCUCUGUAUUACCGCGGCUGCUGGCAC